AACGAACGCUGGCGGCAGGCUUAACACAUGCAAGUCGAACGCCCCGCAAGGGGAGUGGCAGACGGGUGAGUAACACGUGGGAAUCUACCCAUCUCUGCGGAAUAGCUCCGGGAAACUGGAAUUAAUACCGCAUACGCCCUACGGGGGAAAGAUUUAUCGGGGAUGGAUGAGCCCGCGUUGGAUUAGCUAGUUGGUGGGGUAAAGGCCUACCAAGGCGACGAUCCAUAGCUGGUCUGAGAGGAUGAUCAGCCACAUUGAGACUGAGACACGGCCCAAACUCCUACGGGAGGCAGCAGUGGGGAAUAUUGGACAAUGGGCGCAAGCCUGAUCCAGCCAUGCCGCGUGAGUGAUGAAGGCCUUAGGGUUGUAAAGCUCUUUCACCGGUGAAGAUAAUGACGGUAACCGGAGAAGAAGCCCCGGCUAACUUCGUGCCAGCAGCCGCAGUAA
This 447-nucleotide ribosomal RNA is filed under the name uncultured bacterium. Its description in RNAcentral is "partial 16S ribosomal RNA". It matches the Rfam family "Bacterial small subunit ribosomal RNA", at positions 29 to 523 of the family's 1533-position model. The record is from RNAcentral.